RNAcentral lists this ribosomal RNA (274 nucleotides) under uncultured bacterium. RNAcentral describes it as "partial 16S ribosomal RNA". It matches the Rfam family "Bacterial small subunit ribosomal RNA", at positions 523 to 796 of the family's 1533-position model. The record is from RNAcentral.
AUACGGAGGGUGCAAGCGUUAUUCGGAAUCACUGGGCGUAAAGGGUGCGUAGGCGGUUUGAUAAGUCUGAUGUGAAAUCCUAUGGCGCAACCAUAGAACUGCAUUGGAAACUGUCAAACUAGAAUACUGAAGGGGCAGAUGGAAUUAGUGGUGUAGGGGUAAAAUCCGUAGAUAUCACUAGGAAUACCGAAAGCGAAAGCGAUCUGCUGGGAAGUUAUUGACGCUGAGGCACGAAAGCGUGGGGAGCAAACAGGAUUAGAAACCCCAGUAGUCC